RNAcentral lists this unclassified non-coding RNA (1158 nucleotides) under Anneissia japonica. Its description in RNAcentral is "uncharacterized LOC117108441, transcript variant X1". The record is from RNAcentral. Lineage: Eukaryota; Metazoa; Echinodermata; Crinoidea; Comatulida; Comatulidae.
AAUACAUCUUUAUAAAAUAAUUAUAAUUACAAUUUAUAUUUUAUUUUAGUUUUAUUAGAGCAGAUGAUGUGAGAAUAAACAGUUUAUACUCUGCAUAUACUGCAACAAGGUAGUAGAGUAGCUACCAUUGUUGGUCUGAACAUAUCAUAAACGUCUGUUAAACAGCACCUACCUCUAUUUAAAAAUACACCUGUAGGGAAAAUUUCCCGACGAUAAAUAAACACAAACUGUACUAGGUAAAUGCAAGAAAUAAAGUUACCUUUACCUAGUACCGUUCAUGUUUAUUUAUCUGCGGGAAAUUUUCCUUUUUCAUUUGACUUAUUGACAGCUGCAGUGUGUAAUCUUUCUCCUAUAUUAUGAUUAUUUUUACCUUUUUUGAUGACCAUUAGACUCAUUCAAGUUUUUUGGUUGAUUGGCUGAUUGAUUGACUAUAAACAGGGGUACUAUAUUUGAUGUAUUUUUUAAUUUUACAGGGUUUCUGUCAAGGUGUUACCUUUUAAUAAAGACCUUCUACAGUGGAAGGAGAGGGGCAUAAGUAAAUUAAUAGUUAAAGUCAGCUUAAAAAUUUACUUGAAACUGUCUAAAACAAAUGGAGACAUUCAGUCUUUAUAGGACUGAACCCUGAAGUUAAUUUUAAAAUAAAUAAAAAUUUUGUAUCAAAACUGCUUCUUUCUAUUAACACAUUCCCCAGUGCAAGACAAAACAAGUUAAUUAAAGCUGAUGUAGAGUUCAAGUUUGUUAAACUUUUUUUUUUUUUAGUUUGGUUAAUCUUUUUUUUGUUCUUUUCAAAAUUAUCCUUAACAAUUUGACAUUGAAUAAUAUUUUAUUGUUUUUUUAUUGAAGUUUUGAGUUCCAAAUACAGUAUAACUUCUUUUUUUAUCAUUUAUUAAAAAUAACAACCUUCUUAUAUUUUGAAUUUGUUCUAGAAUCCCUUAAGAAGAAACCAGAAACACUGAAAUGCUUCAUCAGUGACAUUGAAUGUAUUAGGGCCAUCCAGUGCAGUUGUUAGCAAGAAGUCACAUAAAGUUACAAAAAAAAGGGAUUACUCGACAAGACAACCCUGGACUGUAGAGGAAAAGACUGCUGUUUUAGAAUAUUUCAAAGAUCACAUAUGGUCAGGUGUCACACCAAACAAAACCCAGGUUGAAGAAGCACAGA